GCGCGAAAGGCGUGAAUAAGGUGCGUCAUGGCGUAUGAGUAACUGCAAAUUCUUAGAUUUUUCUUGAUUGAAAUGGAAAGAUUCAUUACUUUUACUGCUUCCACAUUAAGGUAUCACACGGCGUAUGAGUAACAUUCUUAAUGUUUAUUUAUUUACUUGUGAAUGCUACUCAUAAAAGUUUGUAAGCAACAAAAAAAGCAAAAAAAAAUUAAAUUGAAAUGUAAAAAAGUGGAAUGCAAAGUAAUGAAAUGAAACGAUAUGGAAUGAAACGGAAUAUAUUAAAAUGGAACGGAACGGUUUGGAAUGAAUGGUAUAAAAAAUUAAAAGUAUUGAAAUGAAACGAAAUGGAAUGAAACGGAAUUUGAUAAAAUGUAACGGAACGAUUUGGAAUGAAACGUUAAAAAAUUAAAAGUAUUGAAAUGAAACGAAAUGGAGUGAAACAGAAUUUGAUAAAAUGUAACGGAACGAUUUGGAAUGAAACGUUUAAAAAAUUAAAAGUAUUGAAAUGAUAUAGAAUGAAACAGAAUAUAUUAAAAUGGAACGGAACGAUUUGGAAUGAAAUGUAUAAAAAAUUAAUUGUAUAUAGCUUAAUACAUUAUACAUAAUAAAAUGAUCAGUUUUGAGCUUCUAUUUCAGA
This is a long non-coding RNA of Bactrocera neohumeralis, 637 nucleotides long. RefSeq lists it as uncharacterized. The transcript is spliced from 2 exons. The record is from RefSeq and is a predicted model, not a curated record. Lineage: Eukaryota; Metazoa; Arthropoda; Insecta; Diptera; Tephritidae.